This 378-nucleotide unclassified non-coding RNA is filed under the name uncultured fungus. RNAcentral's name for it is "partial contains small subunit ribosomal RNA, internal transcribed spacer 1, and 5.8S ribosomal RNA". The stretch from base 1 to 72 matches the Rfam family "Eukaryotic small subunit ribosomal RNA", at positions 1759 to 1831 of the family's 1831-position model. The record is from RNAcentral. Lineage: Eukaryota; Fungi.
ACAAACUUGGUCAUUUAGAGGAGUAAAAGUCGUAACAAGGUCUCCGUAGGUGAACCUGCGGAGGGAUCAUUAACACAUGAAAGAGGCGAGUUGCGCAUGCAAAUGUGACAAAAACCAACGCGCUCUCUUUUGUUUCCCAACUCACCCAUUUAGCGUGAACUAAGAUGCCCCUUUUUUUUCUAGCUGAUUUUCGAAUCUGCUGGUGUUUUUUGCUUCUUUUUAUGCAAAACCUUUUCCCAUCUUGUAAUCUACCGCAGUGUUUUAGUUGAUGCUGGUGUUGUGAUGACACUAGUGUGAACUAGCCUGAACUAGAAUGAUAACUAGAGUACAACUCUUAGCAACGGAUAUCUUGGUUCUCGCAUCGAUGAAGAACGCAGC